Molecule: small nuclear RNA, 107 nt
Organism: Balaenoptera musculus (blue whale)
Lineage: Eukaryota; Metazoa; Chordata; Mammalia; Artiodactyla; Balaenopteridae
Source: Ensembl
AUGCUCACUUCGGCAGCACAUAUAAUAAAAUUAGAAUGAUACAGAGAAGAUUAGCAUGGUCCCUGCUCAAGCAUGACACGUGAAUUCAUGAAGCAUUCCAUAUUUUA